Molecule: small nuclear RNA, 104 nt
Filed under: Castor canadensis (American beaver)
Lineage: Eukaryota; Metazoa; Chordata; Mammalia; Rodentia; Castoridae
Source: RNAcentral
GUGCUCGUUUCGGCACCACAUAUACUAAAAUUGGAAAGAUACAGAGGUUAGCAUGGCCCCUGCGCAAAGACGACACGCAAAUUCGUGAAGUGUUCCAUAUUUUA